CCGUAGCCCAAGAGAUCGGGAUAACACCUGGAAACAGAUGCUAAUACCGGAUAACAACAGAUGAUGCCUAUCAACUGUUUAAAAGAUGGUUCUGCUAUCACUCUUGGAUGGACCUGCGGUGCAUUAGCUAGUUGGUAGGGUAACGGCCUACCAAGGCGAUGAUGCAUAGCCGAGUUGAGAGACUGAUCGACCACAUUGGGACUGAGACACUGCCCAAACUCCUACGGGAGGCAGCAGCG
RNAcentral lists this ribosomal RNA (239 nucleotides) under uncultured Lactobacillus sp. Its description in RNAcentral is "partial 16S ribosomal RNA". It matches the Rfam family "Bacterial small subunit ribosomal RNA", at positions 125 to 356 of the family's 1533-position model. Lineage: Bacteria; Bacillati; Bacillota; Bacilli; Lactobacillales; Lactobacillaceae. The record is from RNAcentral.